RNAcentral lists this ribosomal RNA (254 nucleotides) under uncultured bacterium. Its description in RNAcentral is "partial 16S ribosomal RNA". It matches the Rfam family "Bacterial small subunit ribosomal RNA", at positions 524 to 776 of the family's 1533-position model. The record is from RNAcentral.
UACGUAGGGGGGCAAGCGUUUGUCCGGAUUUAUUGGGCGUAAAGAGCGUGUAGGCGGCUGGGUAGGUCCGUUGUGAAAACUCGAGCUCAACCUCGAGACGCCGAUGGAAACCCUCCAGCUAGAGUCCGGAAGAGGAGAGUGGAAUUCCUGGUGUAGCGGUGAAAUGCGCAGAUAUCAGGAAGAACACCCGUGGCUAAGGCGGCUCUCUAGUACGGUACUGACGCUGAGACGCGAAAGCGUGGGGAGCGAACAGG